GUCCACGCCGUAAACGAUGUCGACUAGCCGUUGGGAGCCUUGAGCUCUUAGUGGCGCAGCUAACGCAUUAAGUCGACCGCCUGGGAGUACGGCCGCAAGGUUAAACUCAAAUGAAUUGACGGGGCCCGCACAAGCGGUGGAGCAUGUGGUUUAAUUCGAAGCAACGCGAAGAACCUUACCAGGCCUUGACAUCCUAUGAACUUUCCAGAGAUGGAUUGGUGCCUUCGGGAGCAUAGAGACAGGUGCUGCAUGGCUGUCGU
This 260-nucleotide ribosomal RNA is filed under the name uncultured bacterium. RNAcentral describes it as "partial 16S ribosomal RNA". It matches the Rfam family "Bacterial small subunit ribosomal RNA", at positions 793 to 1055 of the family's 1533-position model. The record is from RNAcentral.